This 824-nucleotide long non-coding RNA is filed under the name Ananas comosus (pineapple). RNAcentral's name for it is "long non-coding RNA (ACOM_LNC004300)". The record is from RNAcentral. Lineage: Eukaryota; Viridiplantae; Streptophyta; Magnoliopsida; Poales; Bromeliaceae.
CUAGCUCUCUCUCUCCUCCUCCUCACCCCACCGGUUCUCUCUCUAUCCCCCAUUCUCUCUCUAACUCUCUCUCUCUCUCUCUCUCUCCUCCCCUACCUCUCUUCACCUCCACCCCCACCGAGAGAGGGAGGAGAGAGUGAGUUAGAGAGAGAAGGCUAGAGGCUGGUCGCACUACAAUAAAAACGGUCUAUAGCGACACUUUUAAAUAUAGGUGCAUGUCAAAAAAGUACUGCUAGCUAAAAUUACCGACACUUUUAAAAAGUGUUGCUAUAUGUGGGGUCGCUAGGUAUAUAGUGACAGUUAAAGAGUGUCGCUAUAACCUAAAAGAGUGCUGCUAAUUUACCAACACUUAUUUAAGCAUUUAGCAACUGCCGAAAUUCUAUCUCGUUGGCUGCGGUGGCUGAGGAGGACGACCGUAAAGGCUCUUCGUCUAGAAUUUCAGUGGAUUGAGUGAAGAGAGAAGAAAUGAUAGUAAUUGAUUUUUCUUUUUUUUUUCUUUUCCGUUUGUAAUCGGGCCAAAUGGACUGGGUGUGGUGGGUUGAGUAGAGUAAUCUUUUAUUUUUGGUUGGAUUGGGCUUUAUAUUUAGGCAUUAGUAGAUGUGUUUUUAAGUUUUAGCAUAAAUGGGACACUUACUCAAAAGUGUUCCAAACAUGUGUCCCUAUAACCUAAUUCUGUUGUAGUGUCGGGAUGGGGGUAGGGGUGGGGGUGGAGGUGAAGAUAGGCGGAGAGAGAGAGAGAGCUAGAGAGAGAACUGGUGGGGGAGAGGGGAGAGGGGAGAGGGUAGAGAGAGAGAGAGUUAGAGAGAGAGUUAGAGACAGAAAGG